Molecule: ribosomal RNA, 468 nt
Filed under: uncultured bacterium
Lineage: Bacteria
Description: partial 16S ribosomal RNA
Rfam family: Bacterial small subunit ribosomal RNA
Source: RNAcentral
GACGAACGCUGGCGGCGUGCUUAACACAUGCAAGUCGAACGGAAAGGCCCUGCUUUUGUGGGGUGCUCGAGUGGCGAACGGGUGAGUAACACGUGAGUAACCUGCCCUUGACUUUGGGAUAACUUCAGGAAACUGGGGCUAAUACCGGAUAGGAGCUCCUGCUGCAUGGUGGGGGUUGGAAAGUUUCGGCGGUUGGGGAUGGACUCGCGGCUUAUCAGCUUGUUGGUGGGGUAGUGGCUUACCAAGGCCUUGACGGGUAGCCGGCCUGAGAGGGUGACCGGCCACAUUGGGACUGAGAUACGGCCCAGACUCCUACGGGAGGCAGCAGUGGGGAAUAGUGCACAAUGGGCUGAAGCCUGAUGCAGCAACGCCGCGGGCGGGAUGACGGCCUUCGGGUUGUAAACCGCUUUCGCCUGUGACGAAGCGGGAGUGACGGUAAUGGGUAGAGGAGCACCGGCUAACUACGUG